This is a long non-coding RNA of Equus asinus (donkey), 6575 nucleotides long. NCBI's taxonomy places the organism in Eukaryota, Metazoa, Chordata, Mammalia, Perissodactyla, Equidae. The record is from Ensembl.
UCCCAAAGCUAGACUUCUAAGGAAAAGUAACUUGCCAGUCCCCUUAAAAUAUGUAACUAAAAGCUAUCUACACUUUUAUAUUUUAAAUAUAUUGUUGGGGCUUCAUUUCAAAUUGGUAUACUGUAAAACUGUUUCAGAUAGCUUUAAAUCCAAGGCAGUGGCUUUCAAACUCCUUUGACAGCAACUUACAAAAAAAAAAAAUGAAAUAAUUUUUAUAUAAACCACUAUACAGACACACACACACACAAAACUAAUACAAAAGUUUUAUGAAACUUUACUUCCCCUUAUUACAUGUGAUACCCUCUAAUAUUAUCUACUCCAUUUUGUUUCAUUGUUUAUUAAGUGCUUGUCAUAAUCUAGUCACAUAGGUCAGGACGUGCAGUUUGAAAAACACUCUUCUCAAAUUAUGGAUUCCACGUACUCUAGCUGGUAGUCUCUUGUCCAGAUUUUUAAAAGGCUCAUCAAAAAGCAGGAUUUGCUAAAGGAACUUCAGUCCCCAUUACAGCACUGUCUUUGGGAUUCCUACCAUAAGUUUCCAGAUGAAUAAGCAGCUUUUCCUUUGCAGAAUUGUGAUGUAAGUUCAAGAGCAAGUGCACAGGACGUAAAAUAAGAAUAGAGUUGAAAAAGGAGGAACAUCUCCAAAUGCAAUGUGUGUCCCUCUGGAAAACAUAAAGCAGCCUAGAGUGAGGUGAGGGAGACAAAACAGAAAAAAAAACUAACAGAGAAAAGAUCAAGCUUGCAGCAUCAUAUCUCCAGGCUUUGCAAGGUGCACUUGUACUUUCAACCCCAUGAGACAGAGUGAUGUUCAGCAUGACUCCACUAAUCAUGUGGCCUUGAGUAUCUCAGCAGACAUCAGUUAAGUCAUUUAAAAGGAUAACUGCAACUUAAAUUAGUUCAUCCUAUUUAUGCAAAAAUGGUAAAUUCAAAUAAGCAAGGUAAUUUGCUUCUAUUUAUUUCAAUUUUAAAAUUUUUUUAAUCACUUGGCAUCUCAAAUCAAAGCAAAUGGGUAAUAUUAUCAAUUAUAUCUUAAAUACGUAAACAUAUGAACUGAUUUAAAACUCUUAUUUGAUAUGCACUUGUUAACAUUUGCACUAGAGUAGGGAACCACAUUCAAGACUUAAAACUUAAAACAGGGUCAUGUCCUUGAAAACAAAAGAACGUCGUCAGAAAAGCCCCCUUGUGAGAAUCUAGCAACAGAGUGAGUCCCUAAAAUCUGUUAAGCUAUUCCACAGGGAAAGUAUGGUAGAUCACACUAGUAAAGGCAAAACUGUGGAAGCUUAUGAAAUAUUUAUCAAGGGAAAUGUUUGAUAAAUAAUAAAAAUAUUCAGUUUUAGGAAGGAGUAUGAUGAGCUUCAACAUGGUUGCACUUAUGAGCACAGAACUUUCAUAGGAAAGAAAGAAGUAGAAAUUUAUUGAGUAUGUUUUGUCAGGCAUCACUAAAUACUUUCAAAUACAUUAUAGCAUUGGAAACUGGGAAUCAGAGAUGUUAAGUAACUUGUCCUAGGUCACACAGUGAUAAAUGACAGAGCUAGAAUUUAAACUUGAUCUUCUAAUUACACAUCAGUUUUUUUUCACGUUGAUAAUCAUUUUAUCCUGAAGCAGUACUCCAGAUAUGAUAAUGCUUAAAAUAUUUGCUUAAGCAUUUCCUAGGAUUUCUGAUCAAGGUGAAUUCAGAUUUCAGUUUCAAGGCUAAUGAAUGAUAAAGUGAUCUUUAAAAUAAAGAAAAUAGAUUAUAAAUAUGCAUGCAUUCUGAGUGGCAUAUGAAUCUCUCAAACAUUUGAUGAAGUGUUCUUCACGUCUCAUGUAAGGAUGAAAGAAAUUAUCUAUUGUGUAACAAACCACACCAAAGUGUAGUAGCUUAAAACAGGAACUUUUUUUUUUUUAAAGAUUUUAUUUUUUCCUUUUUCUCCCCAAAGCCCCCCAGUACAUAGUUGUAUAUUCUUCGUUGUGGGUCCUUCUAGUUGUGGCAUGUGGGACGCUGCCUCAGCGUGGUUUGAUGAGCAGUGCCAUGUCCGCGCCCAGGAUUCGAACCAACGAAACACUGGGCCGCUUGCAGCGGAGCGUGCGAACUUAACCACUCGACCACGGGGCCAGCCCCAAAACAGGAACUUUUUAUUGUCUCUUAUUGUUCUGUGGGUUGGCUGUGGUUGGCCUGACAGUUCUCUCCUGGGGUCUCUUAGGAAGUGCAGUCAGAUGUCAGCUGGGACUGCGAUCAUCUAUAGGCUCAACUGGGCUGGACUUCAAGAUGGUUCACUUCUAGGAUGGCAGGGGAUGCUGGCUAUCUUACUUGGGGCUGCCAACUUGAGGGCCUACAUGUGGCCUCUUUAUGUGACUUGGGCUUCUCUCAAAGUGAUGGCUGGGUUCCAAAAGAAAGCAUCCCAGAAGAAAUGUUCCAAAAGACCUAGGCUUCUUAUGGCUUAGCUUCAAAAGUCCCAGAAACUCUCUUCCACAGCACUCUGUUGGUUGAGCCAGUCACUGAGGCCUAGGCAGAGGGACGUAGACUCUGCCUUUUGAUAUGAGAAGCAGCAGGCAAUAAGGGAGGGAGGGAGACUGCCCAUCUCACCUUAGUCUUUAGCCUCCCAUCCUGGCAUCUCUACUUUAUGCAACUGAGUUAGAAGGGGAAAUAUAUAAUACAACUACAAUAACACAAAUUAUUGUGUGGUGUUUUCCUAUUUUUUUGGCACUGUCUCUUUCUCUGGAAGCACAGCCCUUCUUAAAUGAAUGAAUAAAUGAAAGUCUCUGGUCCUCCCCUUCCCAUUCUACUCUUUUGUUCCCUCGUUGCCUCUCUUCUGUUUUCUAUCCUUCUUUCUAACUGAAGAUAAAGGGUGUAAAAACAUUUUUUUUUUAAAAGAAGCAAUGUACUCUAAUCAGUUAAUUAACCUUAUGGUUAAUUUCUCCCCAAAUCUACCAUUUGAUAUCUGCCUGACUGAUUCAAUCAUCAUUCUAUAUAGGAAGGUAAUAAGAUAAUUUCUUUAAAUGCAGGCAAAGGAACAAGAGGGAAAAACGGGAAAGAAAAAGUAGGUUACCAAAGGAGGAAGGAAAAUAUAAAUGGGAAGUGAAACAAAUCAGGAAGGUUGAAUGAUAUUAAACCCAAAAGGCUGAAAAAACAAAAGGAAAGAAGCCAGAUUCUCCCCUUAUAAUACUGUGUCCAUCCUGCCUUCCUUUCCAGUCCAUUGCCACCCAUCACUAGCCGAGUCUAACCUUGUUUCUUAAUGCCUGAAUUAUUGCUGUGUCAUCUUACCUACUCUCCCUGCCUACGGUCUUUAUCCUCUUAGAAACCAUCAAAAGCACCAUUUUCCUCAUGGUGCUCCCAAUUUAAACAAAAAGAAAAAAAAGAAACACUAAAUGACUGCUGAAGAAUGAAAUCCAAUAUAAGCAUUUGAAUGAUUUUCAUAAUCUGACCUAACCUUCCUUGCCAUUGUUUCUCAAGUCUUCCCUACAUGAAACUAUUGACUCAACCAGGACGCUCUACUCACUGAAUCCAAAUACACAGAAAAAUGAGCCUAGAUCCCACUGUUUAUUACAUCAUGAAAAAUAUCAAACCUGAAACAAGGAAAAAUAAUUAAUAAACAGCAAAAAUCUGUUUCACAAAGCAGUGUGGCAACAUUGUAAGCUUAUAAUUACAGCACUUGUGGUCCAGAUCACUUCUUAGGCAUACAGCCUUCUUUUUGUCUUCUGUCCUUUGCUCUAACAGAUCCUAUCACCAGGAGUUUUCCCUGCUGCUGUCUGCCUUAGCAAAUCCUGUCUCACCGGAACCCGCAAGAAGUCCUCCUCUUCAUGGAAACUGAUGAUCCUUCCUCUUGCCCAUGAACCCACCUGGAGGAGUCAAGCCCAGCAUGGAUGCCAGAGUGCCAAAGGUGAAAAGCAGGAAAGCCAAAAUACUCAUCAAGACCAAAGGGGGAGCACAGAGCCAGAAGCUGGGAGGAGAAAGGGAGUCAAGAAAGUCAAUGCCAGAAGAGUCCUUCAUCUUGGUUUAACUUUAAGAAGUCAAAUGGAUGCAUGAGAAAGCUCCACAGACCAAAUCCAAGAUCUUAGCCAAGCCCCAAAGUAGCCUGUUACACAUUCUUCUGGAAGUAAUGACUGUACUAGCUUCACAUCUUCAUAACUAAAAAGGGCCACUUGAAGGGCCCAGAACAAGGUUUGCACAAAGGCACAAUGAUUUCUGCUACCUCAAUAGAUGCAGAAAAAACAUUUGACAAAAUCAAAAUCUCUUCCUGAUCAAAAUACUCAUCAAACUAGGAAUACAAAAUCCUCAACUUGAUAAAGAGCAUCCAUGGAACCCCACGGUGCACAUCAUACUUAAUGGUGAAAGUCUGCAUGUUUCCCCUAUGAUCAGGAACAAGCAAGGAUGUCUGCUGUCACCACUUCCAUUCCACAUUCUACCUGGUGGUUCUACCCAAGGCAACCGGACAAGAAAAAGAAAUAAAGACACCCAGAUUGGAAUGGAAUAAGUAAAUCUAUAUUUCCAGAUGACAUGAUCUUGUAUAUAGAAAAUCCUAAGGAAUCUACAAGGACCCUAUUAGAGCUAAUAAAUGAGUUCAGCAAGGUUUGAGGCUACAGGUCAAUGUGCAAAAAGCAAUUAUGUUUCUAUACACUAGCAAUAAACAAUCUGAAAAUGAAAUUAAGAAGGAAAAUCCCAUUUACAACAGCAUCAAGAAGAACAAAAUAAUUAGGAAAAAAUUAAUAAAAGAAGUACAAAACUUGUACUCUGAAGAUAUAUGUAUGGGAUAUGAAGAAUUGAGAACAUUCAUCCUCUGCUGAAAGAAAUGUAAGUUGGUAUCACCACUUUGGAAAGACAGUUUGGCAUGAUAGUAAAACUGAAUAUGCACAAACCCUUCAAUUCUGCAAUUCUGUUCCUCGGUUUAUACACCAGGGAAUAUGUACACAAAUGAGCAAGAAGUCACAUUCAUAAUAGCCCCAAACUGAAAAAAAACGUGCAUAUGCAUUAGUGAUGAGCUGGUUUAGUAAAUCGUGACAUAGUCAAACAGUGGAACACACUGUAUAACCAAUAAUAUGAAUAAACUACGGCUAAAAAAGCAUAUCAAAACUAUAAUUCUGAUUAAAAGAAUUAAAUCUACAUAACUCCCAUUUACAGAAAGUUUAAAAACAAGAAAAUUCAGUAAUACAUUUAUAAUAUAAGGAUAUAUACACAUAUAAUAAAAAUAUGCAUGGAACUGACCCUGUGGCCCAGUGGUGAAGUUCCCAUGCUCUGCUUCGACAGCCCAGGGUUUGCUGGUUCACAUCCUGGGCAUGAACCUAGCAGCACUCAUCAAGCCAUGCUGAGGCAGCAUCCCACAUAGAAGAACUAGGAGAACCUACAACUAGGAUAUACAGUUAUAUACUGGGGGACUUUGGGGAGAAAAAAAAAGAGGAAGAUUGGCAACAGAUGUUAGCUCAGGGCCAAUCUUCCUCACCAAAAGAAAGUGAUAUAAUUUAAAAAUAAUAAUAAAACUAUGCAGAAAAGCAAGAGAAUGAUUAACCUAAAAUUAAAGUUGAAGGGUGUCAGAAGGAGCACAAGACGUCUUCUGGUGAACUGGCAAUAUUCUGUUUCUUAACCUAGAUAUUGGAUAGUGUGAUGGUUAAUUUGAUGUGUCACUUGACAGAACUAAGGGGUGUAUUUGUGGGGAUGAUUUCAGAAGAGAUUAGCAUUUUAAUUGAUAGACUGUGUAAAGAAGAUGGCCCUCCACAAUGAGAGUGGACGUCAUCCAAUCCUUUGAGUGCCCACAUGUAUGGUAGUCCCCCUUUUCUGUGGUUUUGCUUUCUCAGGUUUUGGUAACCUGAGGCCAACCGAGGUCUGAAAAUAUUAAAUGAAAAAAACCAGAAAUAAACAAUUCAUAAGUUUUAAAUUGCAUGCCAUUCUGAGUAGUGUGAUGAAAUCUCACACAGUCCCACUCCAUCCUGCCAGAGAUGUGAAUCAUCCCUUUGUCCAGCAUAUCCACACUGUAUACACUACCUGCCUAUUAGUCACUUAGUAGCCAUCCUGGUUCAGUGCUUGCAUUCAAGUAACCCUUAUUUUACCUAAUAAUGACCCCAAAGCACAAGACUAGUGAUGCUGGCUAUUGGGAUAUGCCAAAGAGAAGCCAUAAAGUGCUUCCUUUAAGUGAAAAGAUGCAAGUUCUAGACUUCAUAAGGAGAGAAAAAAACUAUAUGCCAAGGUAGCCAAGAUCUUCAUUAUGAAUGAAUCUUCUAUCUAAGAAAUUGUGAGGAAGGAAAAAGAAAUGCUAGUUUUGCUGUCACACCUCAAAUAUGUAUGUAUAGGAAAAAACAUAGUAUACAUAUAAAGUUUGAUACUAUCCAUGGUUUCAGGCAUCCACUGGGGGUCUUGGAAUGUAUCCCCAUGGAUAAGGUGUGAUUACUGUAAUGGAAAGGCAGAGGAAGGGCAAUUCCUUCUCUCUGCUUGAGCUGGGACAUCUAUCUUCUCCUGCCCUUGGACUUUGGUGCUCCUGGUUCUCAGGCCUACAUGCUUGGACUGGAACUAUAUCACUGGCUUUCCUGGGCCUCCAGCUUACAGACAGCAUAUUGUGGGACUUCUCAGCCUCUGUAAUCAUGUGAGCCAAUUCCUCAUAAUAAAUUUC